CAUGAGAUAGGCAGGGAGCGGCAUUGCACAUGGUGUAGGCAAGGUUGGGGUGCCUCCUGUUGGUUUAUGUUCUGUGAAGAUAUUUAAAUCAGAAAUAGCAUAAUUUGUGAAUGGUGAAGUCUUUGUGGUAAUCUUCUGUACAAUGUGUAGUACAACACACAGGUUAUGGAAGCCUAUGGCUUCAGAAGGUCGCACUUCUGCAGAAGAUUUUGUUAACAACAUAUCAGAAAUCAGAGUCAGAGCAGGUGUUCUCAUCAUGGAUUUAGUAAAGAAAAAAAGUAUGUGUAUCUAUAUACUGUAUGAACUUUUUAUUCCAGAUUUGGGUUGUUGUAUGUUCUUUCUCGUACGUAUGCUCUGAAACGCCAUAAAUACAGUAUGUAAAUCUAGUUGCAGAAGCAUAAAUGUAUUGCAAUGAUUGUGUAAAUCCUCAAGAAUGUUUUCAAGCAACAGAAAUAUGUUCCUUAUCUGCUGUCCUAAGUACAGUUAAUCCAGUUUAUUCAAAAAAAUACGGGGGCGGGGGGGACACUUGGGAGUGAGCUAAAAGGGGAAAAAACAAAACUUUGACAUCAUUCCCUGCUCUCCCUGCUAUGCUGCAUGUUCAUACUAAACUACAUCAAGUUUUUUUAUGAGUUAUUUUAUGGUUUACAGUAUAUUUAUAAUUUGUACCAAAAAUGUAUCCUAAAGAAUAACACAAGAUUAUACACACAUACACACUCACUUCAUACUGCGCAUGAUCACUCUUGUAAUCUUAAACGUUUAAUCAUAAUAGUUUCUUGUUUAUGUAUUGAUCAUUAGGUAACAAAUAUUUUAUUAAAUUAUGUAAAAAUAAAAAAUUAGACAUGGCCGUCAA
This is a long non-coding RNA of Hemicordylus capensis (graceful crag lizard), 850 nucleotides long. RefSeq lists it as uncharacterized. Lineage: Eukaryota; Metazoa; Chordata; Lepidosauria; Squamata; Cordylidae. The transcript has 3 exons. The record is from RefSeq and is a predicted model, not a curated record.